This 2683-nucleotide long non-coding RNA is filed under the name Helianthus annuus (common sunflower). Its description in RNAcentral is "hypothetical non coding rna". Lineage: Eukaryota; Viridiplantae; Streptophyta; Magnoliopsida; Asterales; Asteraceae. The record is from RNAcentral.
GGUAAACAUACUACAUGCUCGUAAAAAUAACUUCAAAUACCAAACAUUUCAUAAUUUGAAAACAUAAGUUAGCGUUUACAUCGCGAGAUAGCAUAAAACAUUGUCUUGAAAGUUUACAACUUUAUUAAAAGAUAAACAUAAACGACAUCCACAAGCAUGAGUAAGACCGCGCAAACAUCCACUUCUAGUUACCUGAAAUACAUCAUACCUUAUUAGAUAGAAUAGCAUUACCAUACAAAUAAAGGCCUUCAACUUGACUACCAGUCACCAGGACUCUCUUGGUUACUAAAUCCUGAAUGUAACAUUUAUAUGUUCAUCAAAACCAAUAUACAAUGAAUUAUCCAUUGCUAACUUAUGAACAAAUAUCAGAUUAACAGAGUAUUCAGGAAUAACAAGCACAUAUUUUAAAACAACCCCAUCUACUAACUUUACACAACCUAUUUUAGUUACUAAAGCACUAGUACCAUUAGGAUGUUUAACCUAAACUUUUAAGUUUGAAAUAUCAAAAUAAUCAACAAGAUUAGUUUCAGAAUUAACCAUGUGAUUGUUAGCUCCUGAAUGUAUUAUCCAACCAGACCCUUUUUUAUUAAAAAGUUAGCGAAAGUAUACACUAGUUUAGUAAAAACAUUAGAAUAGAAAAAACUACCUGAGACAUUACAACUCUGCAGUGUUUCAGGUGACUUUUCCUUCAACAAAUUCAACAAUUUAGUUAACUGAUCAAAAGUGAAAGUACUAACAGGAAGAUUUGACUCAUCAGGACAUUCAAUGUUACUAGAAUUAACCUUUUUCCCAUGAUUCCCUCUUGGUGAUUUCAUUCAAGAGGGAUAUCAAAUAAGUUCAAAACACUUAUCAAUAGUGUGCCCAAUUUUAUUGCAAUUAGCACAUUUCAGGUUUUGGUUUUGACCUUUAACUCUCUUUUUCUUAUUAUCAAUCACAAAAUUAGACUUAGCAAACAGACCAAUAGCAUGAUCACUAGACACAUUAGAGUUCCUAUGUGAUUCUUCCCUAGACACAAUUGAGAAAGCCUAUUUUACACUUGGAAGAGGCUCUCUAAUAAGCAUACUAGUUCUGACAGUACUAUACACAUUAUCCAGACUCAUCAGAAAUUGCAUUAGUUUAAUCAAAUGAUUAAAAAUAUUGAACUGUGUUGCAUCAUCACAAGUGCAAGUAGGAAUUUGCAAAAUUUGAUAUAUUUUUUCCACAUUAUGUUUAGUUUAUGAUAAUACUGAGCAACAGAUAAAACAGAUUGACUAAAUGAGUUAAUCUUUUGAUACAAAUCAAUCACAACUGACCCAUCUAUUUUAUCAUAGGUAUCUCUUAAUUCCUUCCAAACCUCAGCAGCAGAUUUAGAAUAAACAUGACCAAGAUACAAAUCUUCUUAGACAGAAUUUAAAAUCCAAGUUAACACAACUGAGUUACACCUUUCCCAUUUUCAAGAACAACAUUUCCCUCUGGUUUAACAUAAUCAAUAAAACCAAUUUUAUUUUUGACUAUUAAAUCAAGAUUCAUGGCAUUAGACCAAACUAUAUAGUUUCCUGUCCCUUUAAGUUUACAUUAACAACUGUCAAAGCAAUAGAACCACUAGCAUGUAAGUAUAAAGGACUAUUAGGUUCUAAUUUACUAAUUAAAGUUUCAUUUUCAUCACCAAUCACAAACUUUUAAACAAAAACUAUACAUAAGCAGAUUAACACAAUAGUCAAGAUUAUACUUAAACAAGCAAAUUCUAAACAACCAGUCUGUUCUAGGGACCAGAUGGUAGGUUUGUCACUCUGAAGGUGCCUACCCAAGUCUUAGAACAGAGGUUGGAUAACUACAAAUAUAAACACACCCAAAGAAUAGAUAUCAAACACAGAAAAAUACCAAACACAGAACAACAGGUAUUCACAACAGAAAAAUAUCAAAACACAGAUAUCACGAAAAAUGCAACAGAGUGAACCCUCUCUGUGUCCCAAUCAACACUGGCCCGAAUAGUCCGGUAACAACAAUGCCUAAAUGCAAAGAAAUGUAAAAAACGUAAAUCAAAGAACGAUCUCACCAAGUAAGCAAACCCAAGUCAGGGUUUCUCCAAAUCCAGAUAGGGUUUUACAAUCUUCAAAGAUUGAAUCCUAACCGGAGCGACAACUUCCAAAAAAACCUCUUGAAGAUAUCCACAGCAACCCAAUCUACAGUCGGCAAAUAGAAAGUUCACCAUGACUUAGAUCAAACGCCAAACACUAGAUCUACGGUUUCAGUUUCUCGAACAACACAAAUACCAAGAUAACCAGAUCUUCAAGAUCUGGAAUCGGCAACAAAUAGACACCCCAAAAUCAAGAAGAAAACCCCCAACACGAAAAGAUUUGAACAAGAACACAACGGAGAGAAAUGUGAAUGGAAACCCUAAGAUCGCCGACAACACCCCAAGAGCUAUCAAAGCUCUGAUACCAUGUGAAAACAAUGGUAUCAACCAUAUAGAACUCAGAUUAUACCCGAACCCAAAUGUUAUUAACACAAAAGUACAACCUGAACAAACUACAACAUCAACACGAAAGAAAUACCAACUCUCUAACUCUCAAAAGAUCAUCAACACCAUGAUCUUGCAAUUGAACGAACAAUAGACUCACAACAACUUAGAAUCAGAAUGAUUCUGCGUUGAAACCCUAAAUCGCCUUGAGAGAAACUGAGACAACAAGUACAAAAAAUAUUU